RNAcentral lists this ribosomal RNA (254 nucleotides) under uncultured bacterium. RNAcentral's name for it is "partial 16S ribosomal RNA". It matches the Rfam family "Bacterial small subunit ribosomal RNA", at positions 524 to 776 of the family's 1533-position model. The record is from RNAcentral.
UACGAAGGGGGGCUAGCGUUGCUCGGAAUGACUGGGCGUAAAGGGCGCGUAGGCGGAUGGCUUUGUCGGGCGUGAAAUUCCAGGGCUUAACCUUGGGGCUGCGUUCGAGACGGGUUGUCUUGAGUGGGGAAGAGGGUCGUGGAAUUCCCAGUGUAGAGGUGAAAUUCGUAGAUAUUGGGAAGAACACCAGUGGCGAAGGCGACACACUGGGCCAUUACUGACGCUGAGGCGCGAAAGCGUGGGGAGCAAACAGG